AGUGAACGCUGGCGGUAGGCCUAACACAUGCAAGUCGAACGGCAGCACAGUAAGAGCUUGCUCUUACGGGUGGCGAGUGGCGGACGAGUGAGGAAUACAUCGGAAUCUACUUUUUCGUGGGGGAUAACGUAGGGAAACUUACGCUAAUACCGCAUACGACCUACGGGUGAAAGCAGGGGAUCUUCGGACCUUGCGCGAUUGAAUGAGCCGAUGUCGGAUUAGCUAGUUGGCGGGGUAAAGGCCCACCAAGGCGACGAUCCGUAGCUGGUCUGAGAGGAUGAUCAGCCACACUGGAACUGAGACACGGUCCAGACUCCUACGGGAAGCAGCAGUGGGGAAUAUUGGACAAUGGGCGCAAGCCUGAUCCAGCCAUACCGCGUGGGUGAAGAAGGCCUUCGGGUUGUAAAGCCCUUUUGUUGGGAAAGAAAAGCAGCAGGUUAAUACCCCGCUGUUCUGACGGUACCCAAAGAAUAAGCACCGGCUAACUUCGUG
RNAcentral lists this ribosomal RNA (492 nucleotides) under uncultured bacterium. RNAcentral describes it as "partial 16S ribosomal RNA". It matches the Rfam family "Bacterial small subunit ribosomal RNA", at positions 29 to 507 of the family's 1533-position model. The record is from RNAcentral.